UUUUUACUGAAUUCACAAUUGGCACAUUGGCUAGCUGGACAGACAAUUUGAACGUUGAUCCUCCUUUGUCCCCUCCAACCUUCAACCACACUUCAUCUUCAGGGAUCACUUCAUGCCAGACAAGUUGGUUGGCUCUGCAAUGAAGUGAGUGUACUGUUUUCGGAAGAGAGGGUACAAAGACACAAGGCGAUGACCGGAGUUCUUCUCCGCCUGUUGGCAGUUUGAAUCCAAUGUCACACCCCAGCGUGAUAGCCAUCUGAAGUACAGACAGUGAGCAAGAGCUUGAACAUACAGCCAA
Long non-coding RNA from Corticium candelabrum, 298 nucleotides. RefSeq lists it as uncharacterized. The record is from RefSeq and is a predicted model, not a curated record. NCBI's taxonomy places the organism in Eukaryota, Metazoa, Porifera, Homoscleromorpha, Homosclerophorida, Plakinidae. The transcript is spliced from 3 exons.